Molecule: unclassified non-coding RNA, 118 nt
Filed under: Homo sapiens (human)
Lineage: Eukaryota; Metazoa; Chordata; Mammalia; Primates; Hominidae
Source: RNAcentral
GGCCGGGCGCGGUGGCUCACGCCUGUAAUUCCAGCACUUUGGGAGGCCGAGGCGGGCGGAUCACGAGGUCAGCAGAUCGAGACCAUCCUGGCUAACACGGUGAAACCCCGUCUCUACU